AGGACCCUGAGAUCAUGACCCAAGCCAAAGGCAGAGGCUUUAACCCACUGAGUCACCCAGGCGCCCCUACUUCUGCUUUCUGCUUGAUUUCAUGACAUCUUGUCUUGUGUAGUUUAGAAAUUGAACUGUGCCCACUAUUUGGAGUUCCAUUUUCUGUGGUGCCUUUUUUUUUUUUUUUUUUUUUUUUUUGGUCUUGACCUUCAAGUUCUGGUUACCUUAGCAGGAAGCAGUAAAACAGUUUUUAUGCCCUACUUCAUGAGACUUCUCAAAGCUCUGAAUUACCAUUUCUGCUCUUAAGCUUGGCUUCAUACAGCUUCAGGAUUAACAGAUGCAUCAAGGGAAAAAGAAGCAGCUCACUUCAGUGUGUUUCUCUUAAUUUAAUCAUCUAGACCACUCUAAAGACGUUUCCUGGGUUUAUAUCUGACACCUUUAAAAAAGCUAAGCUUUGGGGGGUAUUUUAUCUAGUUUUUAUGGUUUCUAUCAGCCAAAGAAUUAGUAUGAGACGAGAUAACCUGUCCUAUUUGGAAGAAGAAUCCUUUCUAUAUAAUUUCUGUAGCUACCAGUUACCGGUUUAAGAAAGUUCCCUUCUAUCCUUGGUUCACAGAGAGGAUUUAAAAUGAAUGGAUGUUGCAUUUUUAAAAUGUCUUUUCUGUAUCUGGUGAGAUGUGAAUUUUCUCCUUUAUUCUAUCGGUGUAACAUAUUCAUUGAUUUACAAAUAUUGCAUUUCCAGAAUAAACCCAGUUUUUUAAUGAUGCAUUAUUUGUUAAUGUAUUUAUGGAGUCAGUGUACUAACAUUUCAUUUAGAAUAUAUUGAAAAAGAUUGAACUGAAUUUUCCAUUCUUGUAACGUUCUUGUCAGCUCUUGGAUCAAAGUAAUGCUGAUCUCAAAGAACAAGAUGGGAAAGGUUCCUUCUUUGGAAGAGUUCUUUUUCUUUGGAAGAGUUUGUGAAACAUCAGUGUUCUUCCUUAGCCACCUGAUAAAAUUCAUCAGGCAAGCCAUGUGAACCUUGAGUUUUCCUUGUGGAAAAGUUUUUAAUUACAGAUUAAAUGUAUAUAAUAGAUACAGGACAAUUUAGAUUUUCUAAUCGUGUGUCCUCUCCCUGACAGGAUCAUUGAACCAUUGCAUCAGUCACAGACUAGCUAUCACCAGACUCCUUAUUAGAUGAACAAACUAAACAUCUUGCUUUUCCAGAAAGCAAAGAUGGACUGAAAGCCCAAUGGGACAUGUCUAAAGGACACAAGAAGCAUCAUGAAGGACCUUCGCUGGCCACAUCUGAGAUCAUUUGAACACCAAAAAGUAAUGGCUACAAUUUAUUAUAAUACAUUAAAUAAAUAGAUAAAAAUCCAUGA
Molecule: long non-coding RNA, 1349 nt
Organism: Lontra canadensis (Northern American river otter)
Lineage: Eukaryota; Metazoa; Chordata; Mammalia; Carnivora; Mustelidae
Exons: 2
Source: RefSeq, a predicted model, not a curated record